This is a non-coding RNA of Paramuricea clavata, 213 nucleotides long. NCBI's taxonomy places the organism in Eukaryota, Metazoa, Cnidaria, Anthozoa, Malacalcyonacea, Plexauridae. The record is from the annotation of a GenBank genome assembly.
GUGAGGAUGACCACCACUGAGCUAUACUUAUAUAUCUGGAGAUCGUGCUCUCGACGAAAGUGUGUGGCCAAAAACAUGGCGGAUUUGACGUCACAACAGUGAACUCUAAUAAUAACUGGAAGGCUAACUCCUAUGAUGAAAGUCUAUGAUUCGUUGAAGCCGGCGCGCGGGAAAAUCAGCUUUCAAAAGGACUAAGGAGAGUUUCGAGGAGUG